RNAcentral lists this ribosomal RNA (250 nucleotides) under uncultured bacterium. RNAcentral's name for it is "partial 16S ribosomal RNA". It matches the Rfam family "Bacterial small subunit ribosomal RNA", at positions 524 to 773 of the family's 1533-position model. The record is from RNAcentral.
UACGUAGGGUGCAAACGUUGCUCGGAAUCAUUGGGCGUAAAGCGCGCGUAGGCGGCUGUGAAAGUUGGAUGUGAAAGCCCUGGGCUCAACCCAGGAAGUGCAUCCAAAACUUCAUAGCUUGAGUCUCGGAGGGGCCCAGAGAAUUCCCGGUGUAGAGGUGAAAUUCGUAGAUAUCGGGAGGAAUACCAGUGGCGAAGGCGCUGGGCUGGACGACGACUGACGCUGAGGUGCGAAAGCGUGGGGAGCAAAC